UCUCCGGUAGUUCAGUCGGUAGACCGUGGACUGUUAAUCCAUAUGUCGCUGGUUCGAGUCCAGCUCGGGGAGCCA
This 75-nucleotide transfer RNA is filed under the name Candidatus Thioglobus sp. Its description in RNAcentral is "tRNA-Asn". It matches the Rfam family "tRNA". Rfam says of the family: Transfer RNA (tRNA) molecules are approximately 80 nucleotides in length. Lineage: Bacteria; Pseudomonadati; Pseudomonadota; Gammaproteobacteria; Pseudothioglobaceae (SeqCode). The record is from RNAcentral.